UGCAAAUGGAGAAUCAAAUCAGGCAAAUCAAUGUUUGCUUUAAAGACCACAAUAUGUUGAAGCAUAUUUGGGAUGACAAGACACCGAAAGAAACAUGAGACAUUGGAGAUAGAGGAAGAGCAGAGAAGACAAACUGCCAUUGGAGAUCGAAUCCAAGGCAAGAAACUUCGAAGCAUACUUCUCUCAGUGUUGGAAAAGGAGUUUGGGUGAUGGAUCCACUCAUUCCGGCAAGAAAAUCUAAGAACGGACAAAGUUUCUUGAAGUUCCUGGACGAAAAUCGGAGUUUAGUCAGAGUUCGGGUAAACCGAUCAAAAACAGAAAAUGAGAGAGAAAGAGACCACCACGCGUCGAUCGGCGAAUGAAAGAGCGCGGCGGAGCCGGCGUGCGUCAGGUGGCAGCGUUCCAUUAGUGCGCUGAGUCGGGUCGACCCGUACGCCUGCCAAAUUGGUCUGGAAUCCUGCGGUCCAACCCGACGUUUCCCGCCAAACACUGUGCGCCAUGUGUCACGCUCGUAAAAUUUGAAGGUUCGCGGCCGCUGGGGUUCAAAACGCGGCACUGCCUACGUGCGUGCCGGUGUGUGUGGGGACCUGCUAGCGCGUGGGACCCCAUUCUCUCACUCGUUUGGCCUCUGUUUGCUUGUUUUUUUGCCCCGAUUUCAACUCUGAUCCUAUUUUUAUAUGAAUUAGGACCUAUCAAGGAAAUUUCAGAAUUUUUGGAACCUUUUCCGGCAAAUAAUUCGAGCUUGGGAAGGCACGCGUCAACCAUGUACCAGUCGAUACGGGGAGGUGUUCGAGAGCUGAACUGUCACAGAGGGGUGUCGUUCCGGAGUGUCAAUCCCUUGUCGGUCUUUUAGAGUCCUUUGUCCGUUUUCAUAUUUAGAGUUUUUUGUAUU
Cucurbita moschata (crookneck pumpkin) is the source of this 892-nucleotide long non-coding RNA. RefSeq lists it as uncharacterized. The transcript has 4 exons. Lineage: Eukaryota; Viridiplantae; Streptophyta; Magnoliopsida; Cucurbitales; Cucurbitaceae. The record is from RefSeq and is a predicted model, not a curated record.